GAAGCCAGGCCAAGAAGAAUCCCAGGACUGGAAGGCCUUGUGGGACGUCCCAGGUUUGUCUUGUGUCAAUAGCACUGAUACUCAAUCUCCUACUCCCAUCUGUGAGCAUGCAGACCCUACUUGCCUUCCCACAGCCUCCCUUUUCAUAUUUUUCAUGUUUCUUUAGCUCUGUCUUCAAGCCUUGUUGCUCCCGCAAAAAAACCUGCCUCUUCCUCCAGUCCUCCCAAGCAGGGGGAACAGUCCUGACACCUUUCCAAGCCCUGGUCCAUGGACAUUGUGCCCCCUUCUCCCUGCCCAUGGUGACCUGCUCCAAAACCCUCAAGGAGAAGGGAGUGUAUGUCAUUUCCUCCCUGUAAAGUAAAGAUAAUUUUGCAGGGGACUGUGUGGAUGAAAUGACAUGAUGCAUGGAAAUCCCUUAGCGUGUGCCUGGCAUGUAAACUGCAGGUGUCAUCAUUAUUACUGAGGAAUACUGAGUCCCGAACAUGGCUGUCUCAUUGGUGGACUGGGGUCUCCCCCAGGGCAUUCAUCUACUAUGUGUUUAUUGCACCCUUUUUCCAUGUGAGGCACAUGCCAGGGACUGGGCACAUGGUAUGAACAAGACACAGGUCAUCGGUGUCCUCUUGAGCUCCCUGGCUUGGCAGCAGAUGCAUACCUGGGAAGGAUGCUAGGUCAUCCGGGAACUCUACCUCCUUCAAAUCCCUAAGGACUGUGCUCCCAAUCCGCUUACGCUCAAGGAAGAACUGGUCAGCCCUAGGUGCAGCUGCAACCUGAGGGACUUGUCCUGGGAUCAGACAUUUUGAGGACUUUCUUGACCCUUGGCUGAUAUCCUUGCAGGCAGGACCUGCAGCUAAGCAAGACGUAGGACUGCAAGCUGGGUUGGCACCCUCCCCCUAGGGAGUUCUCCAGGCCUUGCCCCCUCUGUCCCCAGCCUGGAAGCCCUCCCUGGUACCAUACCCCAGCCGAUGAGUAUGUACCCCCAGAAGUACUUCCGCUCAGAGAAGAAGGAGACGGCAAGCAGGGUGUACAGGCCCAGAACCAGCCUGCUGUCAGGAUCAGAACAAAAGAGGAGGACUGCAUAUGUAUGGACCCACUCCAGAUGGCACGGGGACGGGGGGAGUAGGAAAAGUGGCAUGAUGAGGAAAUGGAGGCACAGACUGAUUAGAAAACCAGCUCAAGGUCAUGUUGCUGCUCUCUCAUUCCUGUUGAGGGCUCUCUGGUGGAGCCUCUGUCUCACAGGUCACCUGCAGGCCAACACUCCCAGAAGCAGCUAGCACCAUGGUUGACCUCGUCCAGGUCCAGGGAAGGCCUCCCUCUCCAGGACUCCUUUAGAUUUCCCCAGCAUCCAGACCUCACCUGCCUAAGUGCUGUUGCCCUGGAAGCCACAGUGAGCACGAGCUCCAUCUUGCACCUUUACCAGCCAAUGGGGGUAAAGACAUUAGCUGCUCGCUGGACAGUCCCGUCAGACACAGACAUGAAACUCCUGCGAGAAGACCAAGCCCUGGAUAAUAUCACCACUCAUCCUGUGGCACUUCAUUACAUUCCGGCUGGGGAUAUUUGAAUAUUAGAUAUUAAGCAAUUCCUGUCAAUUUUGUUAGGUGUGUAAUGACAGUAUCAUAGUUAUAUAGAAGAGUGUCCUUUGGUUUUAGAGAUGCAUUCUGAAAUGAUUUGGGGUAAAAGGUCAGGAGGUUUAUAAUUUACUUUAAAAUACUUCAGCCCAAAAGCAAAUGAAGCAUAUAUUAAUUGUUAGAUGUUAACAAUUGUC
Molecule: long non-coding RNA, 1762 nt
Filed under: Homo sapiens (human)
Lineage: Eukaryota; Metazoa; Chordata; Mammalia; Primates; Hominidae
Description: PREDICTED lncRNA (TCONS_00191800)
Source: RNAcentral